This 506-nucleotide ribosomal RNA is filed under the name uncultured bacterium. RNAcentral describes it as "partial 16S ribosomal RNA". It matches the Rfam family "Bacterial small subunit ribosomal RNA", at positions 29 to 523 of the family's 1533-position model. The record is from RNAcentral.
AGUGAACGCUGGCGGUAGGCCUAACACAUGCAAGUCGAACGGCAGCACAGAGGAGCUUGCUCCUUGGGUGGCGAGUGGCGGACGGGUGAGGAAUACAUCGGAAUCUACUCUGUCGUGGGGGAUAACGUAGGGAAACUUACGCUAAUACCGCAUACGACCUACGGGUGAAAGCAGGGGACCUUCGGGCCUUGCGCGAUUGAAUGAGCCGAUGUCGGAUUAGCUAGUUGGCGGGGUAAAGGCCCACCAAGGCGAUGAUCAGUAGCUGGUCUGAGAGGAUGAUCAGCCACACUGGAAUUGAGACACGGGCCAGACUCCUACGGGAGGCAGAAGUGGGGAAUAUUGGACAAUGGGCGCAAGCCUGAUCCAGCCAAACCGCGUGGGUGAAGAAGGCCUUCGGGUUGUAAAGCCCUUUUGUUGGGAAAGAAAUCCAGCUGGCUAAUACCCGGUUGGGAUGACGGUACCCAAAGAAUAAGCACCGGCUAACUUCGUGCCAGCCGCCGCAGUAA